This 2171-nucleotide long non-coding RNA is filed under the name Triticum aestivum (bread wheat). RNAcentral's name for it is "long non-coding RNA (TAES_LNC024480)". Lineage: Eukaryota; Viridiplantae; Streptophyta; Magnoliopsida; Poales; Poaceae. The record is from RNAcentral.
ACCGCUAUUUUAGGAGUAUAUAACCCCCACCUAUUGGAUGACCAACCCAUGUCACCGCGUACACCACUGUGGCCGCCACUUGACGGCAGGUGGUGGACACCAAUGCAACCACACUGGCGGCUUCCCUUGCCUAGCUACACGUUGCAUCUCUGUUUCAUCUUCGCUAGGUAAUUUGUGUACUUCUGCUCUCUUUUCUCUCUGUCUAAGCAUGUGCUUAUUAGCGAUUAGCACUCACAUCAUAACUAUUACUAGCUUAGAGGACAGUUUUUAUUCUCUAGACUGUUAUUUCUUACAUCUGUAAUAAUAAAACAUGUGGAAGGGGGUUCUUUUCAUUCUUCAUUGUGAUAUCUCAUUGCAGCAAGUUUUAAUUCUACAAGUAGAUGAAUCGUUAUUUCUUUCAAAUUCAGAUCUAAUGGUGGGUGUAUAGUACAGAAAAUUGUAUACCUAACUGGUCCUUAAUCUAAGCAGAAUGUUUAUCAGGUAUUGCGUGCAGGUUUGUGGGGAUGACACAUAUUUGGAGGUCCAGCUCCUGCUUGCAUGCGCAAAAAGUUCAUGAUUUGCAUCUCUAAUACAACAUGGUAAGUCUUUUUCAUUCUUGAUCUCUCCAUUACGCUAUGUUCCAUUUCAUGAAUGGAAGGAAUUCCGGUUUGAAUUCACAUGAUGUUCAAACACAUAAAUACCGGAUGUGCUGAAUUGCUAACAUACCGAAAAAAUGCUACAGCUUGAUGACUAUGUAGUAAAGUUCAUUCAGAACUUAGUUCUAGCGACAUGGGUCUUGGGGAGUAUAUUGGGUUCCAAUACAAUUGAGCAUGAUUUAUUCGCAGUAUACUACAAAACUACAUUAUUCCCAGGUCAAGCAUUAUAUUUUGGGCAUAACUUUACGUGCAAUGCAAGUCAGCAAAACAGAUGAGAUUUUUUUUCUUACUCCAGAACCACUUAAUUUUUCUCUACUGAUUUCCCCUUUGGAUCUUUGUAGGAGAUAAUGGCACAUCGAUUUGAUAUUUUUAGCAGUACUGUUUAUAUUUUAUUUUCCAAGAAAUACUCAAAAGUAUUGGUGGUAUGACACUUGAGUACAUUUGUUGAUCUUUUAUUAUGAGCACAUGCUUUUUCCUAUCUAAUAUUAGGACUACGCAUCGUUGUGAUCCGUGUGAUAUGGGGCUUAAUGAUUUGAGAGUCGUUGUCCCCAAAUUAUUCUAAAAUGGUCGGUGGGUUUUUAUGUAUCCAUCAGCAGCUUUAGUUUUUGUGAACAUAUUUGUCUAACAGUUGAGUACAUGUACCAGCAAUAUAGAAAUGGAAAUUGCUAAUGACCCAUAUGAUUGCUUUCACUAGCGAGCUCAGGUGACAGUUCAGAGAGAAACUUCAAUGUUCUCUAAUAUCUGAUUGACCCACAGAGAAUUUUUAUUGAUGUUCUAGUACUGCAUACUAAUGUAUUUUCAAUGCAUUUUAUAGCUUAGGGUGUGAAAUAUUCAUUUUGUGCAGCUUGCGAUCAUCAACUAUUUAAGACUGGUGAAAUUUAUGGUGUUGUGGAACUAUUGAAGUUAGUACAAAGUCGAGACACUUAUAUUGAGAUGGAGGGAUUAUAAGUUUACUUACAGUUGAACUGAACCUCAAAUGUAGAAAGCAGAUGGUCGUCAAGAAUCGGAAAAUGCUCAUGCUUGAAAUAGCAAUGUGACCAAGCAAGGUGGUACUGAAUCAAGUGUAUAACUUCCUGUGUCACUAAGCACAUCAAGAAAAUACAUUUGUAGGCAGUAUGUUUGGCGAAGUAUCUUGGUUUUUUAGGUCAAAAAGCCAAAGCUGACCACUCCAACACAACCUAAGACAUUGGUGCUCCAAGACAACCUCAAGACAUUUCUACGGUACUUCUCUCAUAGUUUUAUCAAAGAACAUUUCAUCUUGUACUAAUCCAAGAGCUUAUGUUCUAAGCUUCUCUUUGUUGAAAAAUUUCUUCCAGGCUAGCUGAGAGUUUAGAAUUGGAACACAUUGCAGGAGCAAGCAGCAACUACGCAAGAAUUAGUCUUUAAAUGAACACAUAUUAUGUAUAAUGUAUGGAAAGCUUAGUUCUACUUUAUAGUAUAUAUAUUCUCUUAAUUAUUUACAUCUUUCAUAUGAAUGUCUGAUUUGAUUCAGUUGUGAACUCCAUACACAAACGUAUGUAUUUGUUCAUAGAUUUG